UACGUAGGGUGCAAGCGUUGUCCGGAAUUAUUGAGCGUAAAGAGCUCGUAGGCGGUUUGUCGCGUCUGCUGUGAAAACCCGAGGCUCAACCUCGGGCCUGCAGUGGAUACGGGCAGACUAGAGUGCGGUAGGGGAGAUUGGAAUUCCUGGUGUAGCGGUGGAAUGCGCAGAUAUCAGGAGGAACACCGAUGGCGAAGGCAGAUCUCUGGGCCGUAACUGACGCUGAGGAGCGAAAGCAUGGGGAGCGAACAGG
Molecule: ribosomal RNA, 253 nt
Filed under: uncultured bacterium
Lineage: Bacteria
Description: partial 16S ribosomal RNA
Rfam family: Bacterial small subunit ribosomal RNA
Source: RNAcentral